UAAUACGGAGGGUCCAAGCGUUAUCCGGAUUUAUUGGGUUUAAAGGGUGCGCAGGCGGACCUGUUAGUCAGUGGUGAAAUCCCGGGGCUCAACCCCGGAACUGCCAUUGAUACUGCAGGACUUGAAUACGGUUGAGGUAGGCGGAAUGUAGCAUGUAGCGGUGAAAUGCAUAGAUAUGCUACAGAACACCGAUCGCGAAGGCAGCUUACCAAGCCGAUAUUGACGCUCAGGCACGAAAGCGUGGGUAGCGAACAGGAUUAGAUACCCUGGUAGUCCACGCCGUAAACGAUGAUUACUCGUUGUUGGCAGUACACAGUCAGUGACCAAGCGAAAGCGAUAAGUGAUCCACCUGGGGAGUACGUUCGCAAGAAUG
This 373-nucleotide ribosomal RNA is filed under the name uncultured Bacteroidota bacterium. RNAcentral's name for it is "bacterial SSU rRNA". It matches the Rfam family "Bacterial small subunit ribosomal RNA", at positions 521 to 896 of the family's 1533-position model. Lineage: Bacteria; Pseudomonadati; Bacteroidota. The record is from RNAcentral.